GACUCUCGGUAACGGAUAUCUCGGCUCUCGUAUCAAUGAGGAAGGUAACAAAAUGUGAUACUUGGUGUGAAUUGUGGAAUCUCAUGAACCAUCGAGUUUUUGAACGCAAGUUGUGCCCGAGGCCAUUGUCACCAAUGCGGGAUGGCAGGCAUUGGGCUAGAAACU
This 165-nucleotide ribosomal RNA is filed under the name Olea europaea subsp. europaea. RNAcentral's name for it is "5_8S_rRNA". It matches the Rfam family "5.8S ribosomal RNA". From Rfam's summary of the family: 5.8S ribosomal RNA (5.8S rRNA) is a component of the large subunit of the eukaryotic ribosome. It is transcribed by RNA polymerase I as part of the 45S precursor that also contains 18S and 28S rRNA. Lineage: Eukaryota; Viridiplantae; Streptophyta; Magnoliopsida; Lamiales; Oleaceae. The record is from RNAcentral.